UACAGAGGUGGCAAGCGUUGUUCGGAAUUACUGGGCGUAAAGGGCGCGUAGGCGGCCCGUCAAGUCCCGUGUGAAAGCCCCCGGCUCAACCCAGGAACUGCGUCCGAUACUGGCAGGCUUGAAUUCGGGAGAGGGAUGCGGAAUUCCAGGUGUAGCGGUGAAAUGCGUAGAUAUCUGGAGGAACACCGGUGGCGAAGGCGGCAUCCUGGACCGAUAUUGACGCUGAGGCGCGAAAGCCAGGGGAGCAAACGGG
Molecule: ribosomal RNA, 253 nt
Filed under: uncultured bacterium
Lineage: Bacteria
Description: partial 16S ribosomal RNA
Rfam family: Bacterial small subunit ribosomal RNA
Source: RNAcentral